This 253-nucleotide ribosomal RNA is filed under the name uncultured bacterium. RNAcentral's name for it is "partial 16S ribosomal RNA". It matches the Rfam family "Bacterial small subunit ribosomal RNA", at positions 524 to 776 of the family's 1533-position model. The record is from RNAcentral.
UACGUAGGGCGCAAGCGUUAUCCGGAAUUAUUGGGCGUAAAGAGCUCGUAGGCGGUUUGUCGCGUCUGCCGUGAAAGUCCGGGGCUCAACUCCGGAUCUGCGGUGGGUACGGGCAGACUAGAGUGAUGUAGGGGAGACUGGAAUUCCUGGUGUAGCGGUGAAAUGCGCAGAUAUCAUUUGGAACGCCAAUGGUGAAAACAGGUAGCUGGGAGUGUGCUGACGCUGAGACACGAAAGCCAGGGGAGCGAACGGG